RNAcentral lists this ribosomal RNA (440 nucleotides) under uncultured bacterium. RNAcentral's name for it is "partial 16S ribosomal RNA". It matches the Rfam family "Bacterial small subunit ribosomal RNA", at positions 338 to 795 of the family's 1533-position model. The record is from RNAcentral.
CCUACGGGUGGCAGCAGUGGGGGAUAUUGGACAAUGGGGGGAACCCUGAUCCAGCGACGCCGCGUGAGUGAAGAAGUAUUUCGGUAUGUAAAGCUCUAUCAGCAGGGAAGAAAAUGACGGUACCUGAGUAAGAAGCCCCGGCUAACUACGUGCCAGCAGCCGCGGUAAUACGUAGGGGGCAAGCGUUAUCCGGAUUUACUGGGUGUAAAGGGAGCGUAGACGGCAGUGCAAGUCUGGAGUGAAAGGCGGGGGCUCAACCCCCGGACUGCUCUGGAAACUGUACGGCUGGAGUGCAGGAGAGGUAAGUGGAAUUCCUAGUGUAGCGGUGAAAUGCGUAGAGAUUAGGAGGAACACCAGUGGCGAAGGCGGCUUACUGGACUGUAACUGACGUUGAGGCUCGAAAGCGUGGGGAGCGAACAGGAUUAGAUACCCCUGUAGUC